AGGUAUGCUGGAGGUAUCAGAAGUGCGAAUGCUGACAUAAGUAACGAUAAUGCGGGUGAAAAACCCGCACGCCGGAAGACCAAGGGUUCCUGUCCAACGUUAAUCGGGGCAGGGUGAGUCGACCCCUAAGGCGAGGCUGAAAAGCGUAGUCGAUGGGAAACGGGUUAAUAUUCCCGUACUGGUGGUAACUGCGAUGGGGGAACGGAGAAGGCUAGGUUGUCCGGGCGACGGUCGUCCCGGUUCAAGCAUGUAGGCAGAGUGAUUAGGCAAAUCCGGUCACUUAAUGCUGAGGUGUGAUGACGAGCCACUAAGGUGGUGAAGCAAUUGAUGCCCUGCUUCCAGGAAAAGCCUCUAAGCUUCAGGUUACCAACAAUCGUACCCCAAACCGACACAGGUGGUCAGGUAGAGAAUACUCAGGCGCUUGAGAGAACUCGGGUGAAGGAACUAGGCAAAAUGGUGCCGUAACUUCGGGAGAAGGCACGCUGGCGGUAAGUGAAGUCCCUUGCGGACGGAGCCGAAGCCAGUCGAAGAUACCAGCUGGCUGCAACUGUUUAUUAAAAACACAGCACUGUGCAAACACGAAAGUGGACGUAUACGGUGUGACGCCUGCCCGGUGCUGGAAGGUUAAUUGAUGGGGUUAUCCGUAAGGAGAAGCUCUUGAUCGAAGCCCCAGUAAACGGCGGCCGUAACUAUAACGGUCCUAAGGUAGCGAAAUUCCUUGUCGGGUAAGUUCCGACCUGCACGAAUGGCGUAAUGAUGGCCAGGCUGUCUCCACCCGAGACUCAGUGAAAUUGAACUCGCUGUGAAGAUGCAGUGUACCCGCGGCAAGACGGAAAGACCCCGUGAACCUUUACUAUAGCUUGACACUGAACAUUGAGCCUUGAUGUGUAGGAUAGGUGGGAGACUUAGAAGUGUGGACGCCAGUCUGCAUGGAGUCAACCUUGAAAUACCACCCUUUAACGUUUGAUGUUCUAACCUAGGUCCAUAAUCUGGAUCGGGGACCGUGUCUGGUGGGUAGUUUGACUGGGGCGGUCUCCUCCUAAAGAGUAACGGAGGAGCACGAAGGUUGGCUAAGCAUGGUCGGACAUCAUGCGGUUAGUGCAAAGGCAUAAGCCAGCUUGACUGUGAGAGUGACGGCUCGAGCAGGUACGAAAGUAGGUCUUAGUGAUCCGGUGGUUCUGAAUGGAAGGGCCAUCGCUCAACGGAUAAAAGGUACUCCGGGGAUAACAGGCUGAUACCGCCCAAGAGUUCAUAUCGACGGCGGUGUUUGGCACCUCGAUGUCGGCUCAUCACAUCCUGGGGCUGAAGUAGGUCCCAAGGGUAUGGCUGUUCGCCAUUUAAAGUGGUACGCGAGCUGGGUUUAGAACGUCGUGAGACAGUUCGGUCCCUAUCUGCCGUGGGCGUUGGAAGAUUGAGAGGGGUUGCUCCUAGUACGAGAGGACCGGAGUGAACGCACCACUGGUGUUCGGGUUGUCAUGCCAAUGGCAUUGCCCGGUAGCUAAGUGCGGAAGAGAUAACCGCUGAAAGCAUCUAAGCGGGAAACUUGCCUCGAGAUGAGUCUUCCCUGUCACCUUGAGUGACCUAAAGGAACGUUUAAGACUAAGACGUUGAUAGGCUGGGUGUGUAAGCGUAGCGAUACGUUGAGCUAACCAGUACUAAUGAACCGUGAGGCUUAACCUG
This 1680-nucleotide ribosomal RNA is filed under the name Proteus vulgaris. RNAcentral's name for it is "bacterial LSU rRNA". It matches the Rfam family "Bacterial large subunit ribosomal RNA", at positions 1266 to 2925 of the family's 2925-position model. The record is from RNAcentral. Lineage: Bacteria; Pseudomonadati; Pseudomonadota; Gammaproteobacteria; Enterobacterales; Morganellaceae.